AUCGCUUCUCGGCCUUUUGGCUAAGAUCAAGUGUAGUAUCGUGUUUUAUCAGUUUAAUAUCUGAUACGUCCCCUACCCGGGGACCAUAUUAUUAAAUUGAUUUUUGGAACAGGGAGAUGGAAUAGGGGCUUGCUCCGUCCACUCCACGCAUCGACCUUGUAUUGCAGUACUUCCAGGAACGGUGCACCCCCU
Molecule: small nuclear RNA, 192 nt
Filed under: Seriola dumerili (greater amberjack)
Lineage: Eukaryota; Metazoa; Chordata; Actinopteri; Carangiformes; Carangidae
Description: U2 spliceosomal RNA (ENSSDUG00000021796.1)
Rfam family: U2 spliceosomal RNA
About the family: U2 is a small nuclear RNA (snRNA) component of the spliceosome (involved in pre-mRNA splicing). Complementary binding between U2 snRNA (in an area lying towards the 5' end but 3' to hairpin I) and the branchpoint sequence (BPS) of the intron results the bulging out of an unpaired adenosine, on the BPS, which initiates a nucleophilic attack at the intronic 5' splice site, thus starting the first of two transesterification reactions that mediate splicing.
Source: RNAcentral